UUUAUAAGUGUAAGUAUAUGUUAGAAUGGUUAAUAGAUUAAUUUAAAGAGAGUGGAUAUAAAAAACUUUAUUUUGAAUUUUAUUUAUUUUGAUCAUAGCAUUUGAAAAAAUUAUAAGACCUAAAUAUUUAAUAUGAAGUCUUGAGAAGAGAUUAGAGCCUAAAGAAGAAAUUUUUAAAUAGUAGGAGGCUUAUUGGGAAGGAUGAAAGUAAGGUAUGGUUGGAUGAAGGCAAGGAAUGGAGAUCUUCAUUCCUAUUGGUCAAAUGCCAUGCCCAAUGGACUUCAAGGAGGCUGCCCGAGGUCUUAUUAGGGAUUAGGGUUUUUUUUCCAAGUCAUUCAAAUUUUAGAGGCUAGUUUCAUCAAGUUUAGGUUUUUGGGUAUAGAUUGGAUGCAAAUUUUGUAUGAUUUAGAGUUUUUAU
This 418-nucleotide long non-coding RNA is filed under the name Physcomitrium patens. RNAcentral's name for it is "long non-coding RNA (PPAT_LNC001555)". The record is from RNAcentral. Lineage: Eukaryota; Viridiplantae; Streptophyta; Bryopsida; Funariales; Funariaceae.